This 252-nucleotide ribosomal RNA is filed under the name uncultured bacterium. Its description in RNAcentral is "partial 16S ribosomal RNA". It matches the Rfam family "Bacterial small subunit ribosomal RNA", at positions 524 to 776 of the family's 1533-position model. The record is from RNAcentral.
UACGGAGGAUGCGAGCGUUAUCCGGAUUUAUUGGGUUUAAAGGGUGCGCAGGCGGUCUGUUAAGUCAGCGGUCAAAGCCCGGGGCUCAACCCCGGCCCGCCGUUGAAACUGGCAGUCUCGAGUUGGAGAGAAGUAUGCGGAAUGCGCGGUGUAGCGGUGAAAUGCAUAGAUAUCGCGCAGAACUCCGAUUGCGAAGGCAGCAUGCCGGCUCCACACUGGCGCUGAGGCACGAAAGCGUGGGUAUCGAACAGG